This 501-nucleotide ribosomal RNA is filed under the name uncultured bacterium. RNAcentral describes it as "partial 16S ribosomal RNA". It matches the Rfam family "Bacterial small subunit ribosomal RNA", at positions 30 to 523 of the family's 1533-position model. The record is from RNAcentral.
AUUGAACGCUGGCGGCAGGCUUAACACAUGCAAGUCGAGCGGAGAUGAGGUGCUUGCACCUUAUCUUAGCGGCGGACGGGUGAGUAAUGCUUAGGAAUCUGCCUAUUAGUGGGGGACAACAUUCCGAAAGGAAUGCUAAUACCGCAUACGUCCUACGGGAGAAAGCAGGGGAUCUUCGGACCUCGCGCUAAUAGAUGAGCCUAAGUCGGAUUAGCUAGUUGGGGGGGUAAAGGGCCACCAAGGCGACGAUCUGUAGAGGGUCUGAGAGGAUGAUCCGCCACACUGGGACUGAGAAACGGCCCAGACUCCUACGGGAGGCAGCAGUGGGGAAUAUUGGACAAUGGGGGAAACCCUGAUCCAGCCAUGCCGCGUGUGUGAAGAAGGCCUUAUGGUUGUAAAGCACUUUAAGCGAGGAGGAGGCUACUGAGACUAAUACUCUUGGAUAGUGGACGUUACUCGCAGAAUAAGCACCGGCUAACUCUGUGCCAGCCGCCGCCGUAA